AUACGAAGGGGGCUAGCGUUGUUCGGAAUUACUGGGCGUAAAGCGCGCGUAGGCGGACUGAUCAGUUGGGGGUGAAAUCCCAGGGCUUAACCCUGGAACUGCCUCCAAUACUGUCAGUCUUGAGUUCGGGAGAGGUGAGUGGAAUUCCUAGUGUAGAGGUGAAAUUCGUAGAUAUUAGGAAGAACACCAGUGGCGAAGGCGGCUCACUGGCCCGAAACUGACGCUGAGGCGCGAAAGCGUGGGGAGCAAACAGGAUUAGAAACCCCAGUAGUCC
RNAcentral lists this ribosomal RNA (274 nucleotides) under uncultured bacterium. Its description in RNAcentral is "partial 16S ribosomal RNA". It matches the Rfam family "Bacterial small subunit ribosomal RNA", at positions 523 to 796 of the family's 1533-position model. The record is from RNAcentral.